Molecule: ribosomal RNA, 253 nt
Filed under: uncultured bacterium
Lineage: Bacteria
Description: partial 16S ribosomal RNA
Rfam family: Bacterial small subunit ribosomal RNA
Source: RNAcentral
UACAGAGGUCCCGAGCGUUGUUCGGAUUCAUUGGGCGUAAAGGGUGCGUAGGUGGCGUCGUAAGUCAGGUGUGAAAUUUCGGAGCUUAACUUCGAAACUGCAUUUGAUACUGCGGUGCUUGAGGACUGGAGAGGAGACUGGAAUUUACGGUGUAGCAGUGAAAUGCGUAGAGAUCGUAAGGAAGACCAGUGGCGAAGGCGGGUCUCUGGACAGUUCCUGACACUGAGGCACGAAGGCCAGGGGAGCAAACGGG